GACGAACGCUGGCGGCGUGCCUAAUACAUGCAAGUAGAACGCUGAAGGAGGAGCUUGCUUCUCUGGAUGAGUUGCGAACGGGUGAGUAACGCGUAGGUAACCUGCCUGGUAGCGGGGGAUAACUAUUGGAAACGAUAGCUAAUACCGCAUAAUAGUAGAUGUUGCAUGACAUUUGCUUAAAAGGUGCAUUUGCAUCACUACCAGAUGGACCUGCGUUGUAUUAGCUAGUUGGUGAGGUAACGGCUCACCAAAGCGACGAUACAUAGCCGACCUGAGAGGGUGAUCGGCCACACUGGGACUGAGACACGGCCCAGACUCCUACGGGAGGCAGCAGUAGGGAAUCUUCGGCAAUGGACGGAAGUCUGACCGAGCAACGCCGCGUGAGUGAAGAAGGGUUUCGGAUCGUAAAGCUCUGUUGUAAGAGAAGAACGAGUGUGAGAGUGGAAAGUUCACACUGUGACGGUAUCUUACCAGAAAGGGACGGCUAACUACGUG
RNAcentral lists this ribosomal RNA (495 nucleotides) under uncultured bacterium. RNAcentral's name for it is "partial 16S ribosomal RNA". It matches the Rfam family "Bacterial small subunit ribosomal RNA", at positions 28 to 507 of the family's 1533-position model. The record is from RNAcentral.